CCUACGGGUGGCAGCAGUGAGGAAUAUUGGUCAAUGGGCGGAAGCCUGAACCAGCCAAGUCGCGUGAGGGAGUAAGGCCCUACGGGUCGUAAACCUCUUUUGCCGGGGGGCAGUGCUCAGCUCGUGUGCUCGGAGGGAGCGUACCCGCAGAAAAGGCAUCGGCUAACUCCGUGCCAGCAGCCGCGGUAAUACGGAGGAUGCGAGGGUUACCCGGAUUUUUUGGGUUAAAGGGGUGCGUAGGCGGGCCUUCAGGCCGGCGGUAAAAUUGCGGGGCUCAACCUCGCCGAGCCGUCGGAACCGGGGGCCGUGAGUACCGGAGAAGUACGCGGAAUGCGUGGUGUAGCGGUGAAAUGCAUAGAUAUCACGCAGAACCCCGAUUGCGAAGGCAGCGUACCGGCCGGUCACUGACGCUGAGGCACGAAAGCGCGGGUAUCGAACAGGAUUAGAUACCCUGGUAGUC
RNAcentral lists this ribosomal RNA (460 nucleotides) under uncultured bacterium. Its description in RNAcentral is "partial 16S ribosomal RNA". It matches the Rfam family "Bacterial small subunit ribosomal RNA", at positions 338 to 795 of the family's 1533-position model. The record is from RNAcentral.